UACCAAACCACAAGGACUAUCCGUGCAUUUUACUCUUAUUUUUAUUUGUUGCAAUAUUGGGGAAUUUAAUUUAAUUAAAACAGGUGAUUAGGAGCUUAAAAUAUAAAAUUUUAUGAGUUUAAUCCGUUGGUUUUCGUUAAGUUUAUAAAAGAAAUCGUUUAACGGAGUUGCUUUAUAAUAACAAAUCAAGUUAGAGUACAUAAAGGAAUUCCCUAACUAAUUUUAGGUUACUAUACUCAAUCAAGUUAUAAUCAAGAUUCAAGGGGUUUAGGUUACUAUACUCAAUCAAGUUAUAAACUCAAGGGGUUAGUGUAAAGUUAAGUUCAUGUACAAAAUGUCUUAUUGUACGAAAGGCAUGAAAAACCUAAAAAACACGGUGACAUUUUCUUAAUUAUUUACUUGUGAUAAUUACUCUACAAAUGAUCUUGUAAGGUAAUUUUGAUCUUGUAGAGUAAUUUUUUGUAAAAUGUUCUUGUAGGAUAAUUUUGAUCUUGUAGAGCAAUUUUGUAGAGUAUCAUAAUUACUCUACAAAUGAUCUUGUAUGGUAUUUUGAUCUUGUAAGGUAAUUUUGUAGAGUAUCUUAAUUACUCUACAAAUGAUUUUGUAGAGUAAUUUUGAAUUGUAUGUUGUUUGAUAAACUUGCAGAGUAAUUUUGAUACACUUGUAGAGUAUUUUUAAUAAUUACAAUACAAGAUAAUUGUAUGUUGUUUGAUAAACUUGCAGAGUAAUUUUGAUACACUUGUAGAGUAAUUUUAAUAACUACCAUACAAGAUCAAAAUUACUCUACAAGAUAGGGCGGCGCCGGGAUUCGAACCGGCUACUUCAACCGGCCGAAACACUAACAUCACGCAACACAACCAGCUGAUCUACAACGCUGGUUGUGUUGAUGUUGGAUUUGAUUAAAACUUAAACUGUUACGACAGUGUGAAUUUGGUCAUCUUCUCCACACAACAGCCAAGUAACGCGACCAUCCACUCACCUUCGAUCCGUUUCUUUCGUUAAAAUGACACCUGAACCUUACGAUGACCCUAAACGUCACGACAUUGAAGUGGGAUGAUUGAGUGUUAUGUGCUUACUUUUCUACAAAGUGCUGUGUCCGUACUUUGGCAAGUUAGGCUCCCAUACGCAAAAAUAGCUGGUGAACUAAAAGUCAACUACCAAUGAUCUCUUAGUCUAGUAGUUAAGUGGGAGGUGAGAAACUUUGCUUCUCUUGGAGAUCCUGGGUUCAAAUCCAGGUAAGGGGGAUUUUAAUACUAACUUAGUGAUACUAACAUAUUAAUUACUAACCCGAUUAACGACAUUCUAACCGUACGC
This 1314-nucleotide long non-coding RNA is filed under the name Helianthus annuus (common sunflower). RNAcentral describes it as "hypothetical non coding rna". Lineage: Eukaryota; Viridiplantae; Streptophyta; Magnoliopsida; Asterales; Asteraceae. The record is from RNAcentral.